CUGCCAAGAGGUAGACGCAGUGAACUGAAACAUCUUAGUAGCUGCAGGAAGAGAAAGAAAAUUCGAUUCCCUGAGUAGCGGCGAGCGAAACGGGAAGAGCCCAAACCACUGAGCUUGCUCAGUGGGGUUGUAGGACUGAACUUUGGAGUUACCAAAGAAUCAGGUAGUCGAAGUGGCUGGGAAGCCACACCAGAGAUGGUGAUAGUCCAGUAGACGAAACCUGGUUCUCUCCGUUCAGGAUCCUGAGUACGGCGGGACACGUGAAACCCCGUCGGAAUCCGCGAGGACCAUCUCGCAAGGCUAAAUACUCCCUAGUGACCGAUAGUGAACCAGUACCGUGAGGGAAAGGUGAAAAGCACCCCGGGAGGGGAGUGAAAUAGUUCCUGAAACCAUGUGCCUACAAGCUGUCGGAGCCCGUUAAUGGGUGACGGCGUGCCUCUUGCAGAAUGAACCGGCGAGUCAUGAUUACGUGCAAGGUUAAGGUGGAAAAACCGGAGCCGCAGCGAAAGCGAGUCUGAAAUGGGCGUAUGAAGUACGUAGUUAUGUACCCGAAACCAGGUGACCUACCCAUGUCCAGGGUGAAGGUGCGGUAAAACGCACUGGAGGCCCGAACCCGUGUCUGUUGAAAAAGGCUGGGAUGAGGUGUGGGUAGCGGUGAAAUUCCAAACGAACUUGGAGAUAGCUGGUUCUCUCCGAAAUCUCUUUAGGGGGAGCCUCGGAAUCGAGAAUCUUGGAGGUAGAGCACU
This 746-nucleotide ribosomal RNA is filed under the name Limosilactobacillus fermentum. RNAcentral describes it as "partial 23S ribosomal RNA". It matches the Rfam family "Bacterial large subunit ribosomal RNA", at positions 169 to 911 of the family's 2925-position model. Lineage: Bacteria; Bacillati; Bacillota; Bacilli; Lactobacillales; Lactobacillaceae. The record is from RNAcentral.